ACGUCCCCAAAAACUUACAUUUUCCUUUCUAACUUCAUUUUAACUGCAUAAAAAAAUACCCUAAGAAAGUAUACAUCUAUACAGAGGAAAGUGGGAGCAGGCUGAGGCCUUCACUGAAUUUAUAGCCAGCUGCAGCUUGUGGUGCAAAUUGGCCCAAAGGAAUGCUGGGAGCUUAGAGGACUUAACAGCCUCCAUCUUGGAGGGUGUAGGCUUUGAUUUGCCAUCUGUUUCUCCUUCUCAGUUAAUUUGGUUAUUAGAGAGGCUGUAGCAGAUGUUAAACCUCUGAGAAGAGCAAUCUGAAGGGGGCAGAGAGGUUUUUGUGGAGGAAUCCGAGUGCCCUUACCUGUGUGGUGUGGCUCUGGGAGAGCAAUGAGCUCAAACCUGGGUUUUGCAAAACUCAGGCUUUGCUUAACUGCAAAGAUAAGACCCAGCAGUCAUGCAUGAAGUUGGGCUGCUGCUCUUAGAGGUGAUUCUCCUUCUUUGCUUUAAAAAAAAAAAAAAAAAAAUGGCUAGCAUUUGUUUUUCCUUUAGCUUCCCCUCUUUUCCUUUCUAUUUUGGGGGAGCUGGAGAUGCCCUAGCCCUGUUCCCUUGGUCUCCUUGGGCCUGUUAGGUGCUGCGUCCCUGGAAUGGGGUCUGGACUUGAUCUGCUGCAAAUACAGAAGUUUGUUACUGAUGCAAACAGGUCAUAUUACGCUAUUCUUGUACCUUAAAUAAAUCAAGAAAGGUGUAAAUGUGCUAGUUGUGAACUUAUUUCUCCCUUGGGCUGCUUCCAUGAGAUGUUUCUUUCUCUUCCUCUCUCCCCCCCCGCCCUUGCUCCCGCUUUUGCUGCCUUGAAUGGCAUCAGCUUAUUGAAGGAUUUUCUGAAAAUAGCAGUAUUGGAAAGGCAUGUUCUCUGCUCAUCUGGAAUAUUCCAGGAGGAAUUAACUCCCUUAAUUCUUCACCCCAUAAAUUUGGGGUUCCCUUUCUAGUUUUAUCUUGGAGAUGUGUUAAGGCAAUAACAAGUAUAAGUAAAAGAAGCUGUAAGGUUUGGCUUUCUGUUUUUCAGGAAUGUGGUCUGUGGAUCCAGCAAUAUGCAGGCAGGGCAGGGCUCCUGCCUGGGGCUGGUGGCCGUUCGCACGUGGGACAUCUUGAUUUGGUGUCAGGGGACCUGCAGCUGCCUGAUGCUCUCAAGGCCACAUACAAAAGGAAAGAGAUGAAGAAAUAAGAGAAACAUUCUCCAAGGUUGAAGAAAUGUAUUCUUCAGUUUCCCAGUUAACAGACUCUCCGGAGUGUGACUCAUAAGCCCUUGCAGCUCAAACAGCAUUGCAGAAUGAGCUACCAGCAACCUCUUUGUCCUUCAUGUGAUGUUACUGAAUCAGCUCAAGAUAAUUCAUACCUUGGAGCAACCUCGCAUUGCAAGUAAGGUGCUGCAGUUGGCAUUUUCACACUUGUUUCACAUUUGUUAACAGCUGCAGAAGUUACUUAUGUAAGAGCAGGUUUAUUGCUGUGUGAUUGUCCAGGUCUAGAAAACAUAUCCAAGUUUAGUCUGGAGGAGAGGAGGCCCAUGGGAGUCCUUAUUGCUCCCUACAACUCCCUGAAAGGAGGUUGUGGCAAAGUGGGAGUUGGCCUCUUUUCCUGGGUAAGAGUGAUAGGAUGAGAGCCUCAAGAGCCUCAACCAGGGGAGGUUCAGACUGGAUAUUAGGAAACACUUCUUCUCAGGAAGAGUGGUGAGGCAUUCGCACAGGCUGCCCACGGAGGCGGUGUGUCACCAUCCCUGGAGUUGUUCAAGAACUGUGGGGAUGCGGCACAGAGGAACAUAACUCGUGGGCAGUAUUAGUGGCAGGUGGAUGAUUGGACUAGAUGAUCUCAGAGGUCAUUUCCAACCUUACUAAUUCUAUGAUUGUAAGUUGUAAACCCUGAAGUCUGUUUGAAUGUGUGAUGCGUUCAGUUUCAUUUUCUUUGUUAUACAUUUCUGCAAUGUGAUUUUAUUUCUAACGACGUGAAGAUCCUGCUAUUAAAUAUUAUUAUAACUUGAGGAUGAAACUUCAUAAUACUACCUUGCUGUUACUGUUUUUGACCCAAAAGCCCACAAAGUGCCUGGCAAAUGCUAAAUAGCUUUAUCAGAGACCCCAGAGGUCAUUAAUUAUAGUUGUAUCCAUUUUAGGCACUUGCAAAGUGAG
This 2159-nucleotide long non-coding RNA is filed under the name Phasianus colchicus (ring-necked pheasant). RNAcentral's name for it is "lncRNA (ENSPCLG00000004943.1)". Lineage: Eukaryota; Metazoa; Chordata; Aves; Galliformes; Phasianidae. The record is from RNAcentral.